UUUUUUUUGAGCUACAUUGCUUUGAACUUUUGAACCACUUAAAAUGAGAUUGGUGUUUUUCUUGCGUGCAAAAAGGAGAGUUGCAAAUCAUUUGGGAAAUUCAACUCGCAUUUUGCUGAAAUUCAAAAGAGGGCAGCAGACACAGACACCCAUACUAAACAAAAAGGAGGCCUGCCUUUGUUUGUUUGGAUCCCCCCCAUCCCCGUCCACACCCUUCCUUUGGCCAAUCCAUAGUGCACUGUGCCCACUGAUAAGCGCACCAGUUAUCGCAUGAAACUUAGUUGGGCGAGUAUGCCUGGCAACAAAAACAAGGGAAUUAUAAGGCAACUCAAAUAAACUGUGAGAAAUCCA
Molecule: long non-coding RNA, 351 nt
Organism: Drosophila sechellia
Lineage: Eukaryota; Metazoa; Arthropoda; Insecta; Diptera; Drosophilidae
Exons: 2
Source: RefSeq, a predicted model, not a curated record